AACUAACGCUGGCGGCGUGCCUAACACAUGCAAGUCGUACGAGAAAGUUGGCUUCGGCCGAUGAGUAAAGUGGCGCACGGGUGAGUAAUGCGUGGAUAAUCUGCCCUUUAGUUGGGAAUAACGUACCGAAAGGUGCGCUAAUACCUGAUAAUACUGCAUAACUACUGUUGUGUAGUCAAAGAAGGCCUCUGUUUACAAGCUUUUGCUGAAGGAUGAGUCCGCGUACCAUUAGCUGGUUGGUGGGGUAAUGGCCUACCAAGGCUACGAUGGUUAGCUGGUCUGAGAGGAUGAUCAGCCACACUGGAACUGAGACACGGUCCAGACUCCUACGGGAGGCAGCAGUGAGGAAUAUUGCGCAAUGGGGGCAACCCUGACGCAGCAACGCCGCGUGAGUGAGGAAGGUUUUCGGACCGUAAAGGCUCUGUCGAGCGGGAAGAAAUGUAUCAUGGCUAAUAUCCAUGAUACUUGACGGUACCGCUAAAGG
RNAcentral lists this ribosomal RNA (484 nucleotides) under uncultured bacterium. RNAcentral describes it as "bacterial SSU rRNA". It matches the Rfam family "Bacterial small subunit ribosomal RNA", at positions 29 to 487 of the family's 1533-position model. The record is from RNAcentral.